AGGAGGUGGAGCGGCAGCAGUGUUUCUGUUCGUCAGACUCCCCCCUCCUAAAUGAAAUCCUCAUCACGCUGGCGCAGGCCAAGCGCUCGCCCGCCAGCGACACACAACUCUGUGUGCAGCAGCUGUGAUAUCUGCAGGCUGGAGUGAAAGCUGUCAAAGAGCUCACAGAAACAUCUGGAAAGAUUCAUCUCAGGUUUUGACAGUCACACUAAUGAGCUCAGACCGGAAAUCAACAUCUGUCCUGAGCGACCACAGCAUCCAGCCCUCAGUCCGUCACGUCACAGCUGACAUUAACCUGCGUCUGAGUGACCAAACCAACAGUCCAUCACUCAGACAGACUCCAUGUUUCUACACAGAAAGAAGUUCAUGUAGAACAUCUGCUGAAUUAACAAGAAGGUCCAAAUAAUACAGAACGAGACAGAGACAGAGUUUCACAGAGUUUAUAAAGUGUCUCCAACUCAACAACUCACUAAACUGACACAUUUGUUAAGGGAGUCUGGUGAUGAUGUGGCUGGAUCUUGUUGUUGUUGCUCUUUGUCUUCGUGUGCUUCUUGUCAUUCUUCUUGUUCUUCUCGUUCUUUUUCUCCUCGUUCUUCUUUUUUUCCCUCGUUCUUCUCUUUCGCGUCCUUCCUCGUCACGUCUCUCCUCUUCGUUUGUGAUCUGAAUGAUCUGAUCUAAAAUGCCUCUCAUUCACACCUGUGAUCAGAUCCCUCAGGUAGGAUGUUUAUCAUGUCUGAACGUUGAAACUUCCACAGCUGAGUUAGACAGAUCCUUAUUAUCAUUUCUGAUGUCAUGCUGGCUGAUUCCAGCUCACCUGGUUUAAUUUGUAGAUGCAGUUGAAGUGGUAGUAUGAACAUCUCUGUGUACAAAUACUGUUAAAAUUGUACCUAAAGUAUAAAGUAUAAUCAGUGUCGUCGUGUUGUCAGUAACGUGUCCCUGCUGCCUGUCGUCUUCUCUGUGAUGUCAUUAGAUGACUGUGACUCGGUCCUUAAUGUAAAAGCAGGAGGUGGAGUCUGUUCAUGUGCACAGUAUGUCUGACAUGCUUGAAAAUACAUAAAAAUAUACUAUAUACUAGAGACAAAUAGUUUCAUCCCUUUGCGUCUCGCUGCCGUGAUGAUUGAAUGUGAGGUGGACUCACUGCUGAGUGGAUGCUUUAUGAUCACACUUCAGAUUGUGCUGAAGUCCUCUGGAGUAAAAACUGAUCUGAGUCUCUGAGAUCAAAUGAAAUCCUCCACACUGCAUCACUGCAUGAGUUAUUCCCCCACACAGUGUCCAUGACGUCCGAUCACAGGAGCUGAAUCAGUCGUAGCAUCAACUUAUUUGAUUACUUCCUGAAAAUGUAAGAAAGUUUACACCUAACUUGGUCCUAAAUGUAAAAACUGGACUUAUAACAUCAAAAAAUAGCUCAGACUGAUGGUGUCAUAACAUUUCUACCUAUAUAUUGAAAACAAUGUUAUUGUUAAUAUCAAACAGUUGAGGGAAGAAAUACGUCAUCUGAUCCAAAGAAGAAGAAACGACGCUGUGCUGGUUGUUCCUGUCUCAGUCUCAGUGCUGCAUGCUGUCAUAUCUCUGUAAACAACAACCACUGGUUUCAUACUGAGGCCUCAGACGACUGUUCCAGCUAAAUAAACGUGUUGGUGAAGAA
This is a long non-coding RNA of Acanthopagrus latus (yellowfin seabream), 1645 nucleotides long. RefSeq lists it as uncharacterized. The record is from RefSeq and is a predicted model, not a curated record. NCBI's taxonomy places the organism in Eukaryota, Metazoa, Chordata, Actinopteri, Spariformes, Sparidae. The transcript is spliced from 3 exons.